RNAcentral lists this ribosomal RNA (434 nucleotides) under uncultured bacterium. RNAcentral describes it as "partial 16S ribosomal RNA". It matches the Rfam family "Bacterial small subunit ribosomal RNA", at positions 29 to 507 of the family's 1533-position model. The record is from RNAcentral.
AGCGAACGCUGGCGGCAGGCCUAACACAUGCAAGUCGAACGAACCUUUCGGGGUUAGUGGCGGACGGGUGAGUAACACGUGGGAACGUGCCUUUAGGUUCGGAAUAACUCAGGGAAACUUGUGCUAAUACCGAAUGUGCCCUUCGGGGGAAAGAUUUAUCGUCUUUAGAGCGGCCCGCGUCUGAUUAGCUAGUUGGUUGAGGUAAUGGCUCACCAAGGCGACGAUCAGUAGCUGGUCUGAGAGGAUGAUCAGCCACAUUGGGACUGAGACACGGCCCAAACUCCUACGGGAGGCAGCAGUGGGGAAUCGUGCGCAAUGGGCGAAAGCCUGACGCAGCCAUGCCGCGUGAAUGAUGAAGGUCUUAGGAUUGUAAAAUUCUUUCACCGGGGACGAUAAUGACGGUACCCGGAGAAGAAGCCCCGGCUAACUUCGUG